This 515-nucleotide ribosomal RNA is filed under the name uncultured bacterium. RNAcentral's name for it is "partial 16S ribosomal RNA". It matches the Rfam family "Bacterial small subunit ribosomal RNA", at positions 28 to 523 of the family's 1533-position model. The record is from RNAcentral.
GAUGAACGCUGGCGGCGUGCCUAAUACAUGCAAGUCGAGCGAAUGGAUUGAGAGCUUGCUCUUAUGAAGUUAGCGGCGGACGGGUGAGUAACACGUGGGUAACCUGCCCAUAAGACUGGGAUAACUCCGGGAAACCGGGGCUAAUACCGGAUAACAUUUUGAACCGCAUGGUUCGAAAUUGAAAGGCGGCUUCGGCUGUCACUUAUGGAUGGACCCGCGUCGCAUUAGCUAGUUGGUGAGGUAACGGCUCACCAAGGCAACGAUGCGUAGCCGACCUGAGAGGGUGAUCGGCCACACGGGGACUGAGACACGGCCCAGACUCCUACGGGAGGCAGCAGUAGGGGAUCUUCCGCAAUGGACGAAAGUCUGACGGAGCAACGCCGCGUGAGUGAUGAAGGCUUUCGGGUCGUAAAACUCUGUUGUUAGGGAAGAGCAAGUGCUAGUUGAAUAAGCUGGCACCUUGACGGUACCUAACCAGAAAGCCACGGCUAACUACGUGCCAGCCGCCGCAGUAA